This 246-nucleotide ribosomal RNA is filed under the name uncultured bacterium. RNAcentral describes it as "partial 16S ribosomal RNA". It matches the Rfam family "Bacterial small subunit ribosomal RNA", at positions 524 to 770 of the family's 1533-position model. The record is from RNAcentral.
UACGUAGGUGGCAAGCGUUGUCCGGAUUUACUGGGCGUAAAGAGCGCGCAGGCGGUCGUUCAAGUCGCGUGUGAAAGCCCCCGGCUCAACUGGGGAGGGUCACGCGAUACUGAUCGACUCGAAGGCAGGAGAGGGAAGUGGAAUUCCCGGUGUAGUGGUGAAAUGCGUAGAUAUCGGGAGGAACACCAGUGGCGAAGGCGACUCCUGGCCUGUUCUUGACGCUGAGGCGCGAAAGCUAGGGGAGCA